ACGGCCUUGGGACAGUCGGGCGUCAGCACCCGUCCGUUCUCCCCAACGCUGCCCGUGAUGGACAGACGGGCCUUGUUCCUCAUGGCUUCAGUAAAUGUGAGCUGGGGACAAAGAGACGAGGACAGGUUCAGCUUCAUAAAGAAGGGCCCCGAUCUUGUCUAUAUCCACUAUAUCUUUGUGGAACCAAACUUGCCACUUGUGCACAGAAUCAACCCUUGAAGUACAGCGAACACCCACCCCGCCCACAAGUAAAGGUGACGCGUCUGAGCUGUGACUCCUGCCCUCUCCCCGUCAUUUAUCUCCCUUCAUCAAAUAAAGCAGACAUCCUCACAGGGGUCUUCAACUGA
Long non-coding RNA from Solea solea (common sole), 347 nucleotides. RefSeq lists it as uncharacterized. The transcript is spliced from 3 exons. NCBI's taxonomy places the organism in Eukaryota, Metazoa, Chordata, Actinopteri, Pleuronectiformes, Soleidae. The record is from RefSeq and is a predicted model, not a curated record.